GGCCCGUUCGUCUAGCGGUUAGGACGCCGCCCUCUCAAGGCGGUAACAGGGGUUCGAUUCCCCUACGGGCUACCA
This 75-nucleotide transfer RNA is filed under the name Chloroflexota bacterium. RNAcentral's name for it is "Chloroflexi bacterium tRNA-Glu". It matches the Rfam family "tRNA". Rfam says of the family: Transfer RNA (tRNA) molecules are approximately 80 nucleotides in length. Their secondary structure includes four short double-helical elements and three loops (D, anti-codon, and T loops). RNAcentral also lists the same sequence under 2 other names. Lineage: Bacteria; Bacillati; Chloroflexota. The record is from RNAcentral.